Podarcis lilfordi (Lilford's wall lizard) is the source of this 134-nucleotide non-coding RNA. NCBI's taxonomy places the organism in Eukaryota, Metazoa, Chordata, Lepidosauria, Squamata, Lacertidae. The record is from the annotation of a GenBank genome assembly.
AGAACGGACCUCCGGAACGAAUUAAGUACUUAACCCGAGGUACCACUGUAUAAUAUUUGUGGGGAUUAUCCCUAUCAGCCCCUUCAUUUUAUAUACAGUGGUACCUUGGGUUAAGUACUUAAUUCAUUCCACUC